GACGAACGCUGGCGGCGUGCUUAACACAUGCAAGUCGUACGGUAAGGCCCUUUCGGGGGUACACGAGUGGCGAACGGGUGAGUAACACGUGAGUAACCUGCCCACAACUUUGGGAUAACGCUAGGAAACUGGUGCUAAUACUGGAUAUGUGCUCCUGCUGCAUGGUGGGGGUUGGAAAGCUCCGGCGGUUGUGGAUGGACUCGCGGCCUAUCAGCUUGUUGGUGGGGUAGUGGCCUACCAAGGCGGCGACGGGUAGCCGGCCUGCGAGGGUGACCGGCCAAAUUGGGGAUUGAGUACGGGCCAGCAUCCGACGGGGGGGCGCAGGGGGGAACUGUGGCCAAGGGGCGCAAGCCUUAUGCAGCAACGCCGCGGGGGGGGUGGCAGACUUCGGGUUGGAAAACGCAUUCAGCAGGGACGGAGCUUUUUGUGACGGUACCUGAAGAAGAAGCAACGGCUAACUACGUG
This 465-nucleotide ribosomal RNA is filed under the name uncultured bacterium. RNAcentral describes it as "partial 16S ribosomal RNA". It matches the Rfam family "Bacterial small subunit ribosomal RNA", at positions 28 to 507 of the family's 1533-position model. The record is from RNAcentral.